AUUGAACGCUGGCGGCAUGCUUUACACAUGCAAGUCGAACGGCAGCGCGGGCUUCGGCCUGGCGGCGAGUGGCGAACGGGUGAGUAAUGAACCGGAACGUGACCAGCAGAGGGGGAUAGGAUGGCGAAAGCCGGAUUAAUACCGUAUACGACCUGAGGGUGAAAGGGGGGGUCCGAAAGGCAUAGCGCGAUUUGAGCGGACGAUGUCGGAUUAGCUAGUUGGUGGGGUAAAGGCUUACCAAGGCGACGAUCCGUAGCUGGUCUGAGAGGACGACCAGCCACACUGGAACUGAGACACGGCCCAGACUCCUACGGGAGGCAGCAGUGGGGAAUUUUGGACAAUGGGCGCAACCCUGAUCCAGCCAUGCCGCGUGCGGGAAGAAGGCCUUCGGGUUGUAAAACGCUUUUGUUCGGGAAGAACUCCUCUGGGCUAAUACCCCGGGGGGAUGACGGUACCGGAAGAAUAAGCACCGGCUAACUACGUG
This 484-nucleotide ribosomal RNA is filed under the name uncultured bacterium. RNAcentral describes it as "partial 16S ribosomal RNA". It matches the Rfam family "Bacterial small subunit ribosomal RNA", at positions 29 to 507 of the family's 1533-position model. The record is from RNAcentral.